UCUAAAGUGACAACUUACUCGGGGGC
Molecule: non-coding RNA, 26 nt
Filed under: Mus musculus (house mouse)
Lineage: Eukaryota; Metazoa; Chordata; Mammalia; Rodentia; Muridae
Source: RNAcentral